AUCGGAUCUCAGAUUAGGUAAGACUACCCGCUGAAUUUAAGCAUAUAAUUAAGCGGAGGAAAAGAAACUAACAAGGAUUCCCCCAGUAAGGGCGACUGAAAAGGGAAGAGCUCACCGUGUGAAUCUGCGCAUACCGCGCAAGCGGGCGCGCCGAAUUGUGGUCUGGAGAGACAUUGUCGACCGUGGUUCCGGGCCAAGUCCCUUGGAAAAGGGCAGCUGAGAGGGUGAAACUCCCGUUCUUGCCUGGGAUUUGCGUGUCAUGGCACGUGUUCUCAAAGAGUCGAGUUGCUUGGGAUUGCAGCUCAAAGUGGGUGGUAAAUUCCAUCUAAAGCUAAAUAUUGGUGGGAGACCGAUAGCGCACAAGUACCGUGAGGGAAAGAUGCAAAGAACUUUGAAAAGAGAGUUAAAGAGUACCUGAAAUUGCUGAAAGGGAAGCAAAGGAAACCAGUGCGUUGUGCGUGUCAUAUUUCUCCUGCUGCUUGCGGUGGGGGCGCUGUGGCCGUGCGUAGCGUCAGCAUCGGUUCGUACUUCGGAGCAAACGGUGUGGCUGGAGGUUAUUCCAUUACGGGAUGAAUGACAGCCGCUCUAAGUUCUGGAGGGGACCG
Molecule: ribosomal RNA, 605 nt
Filed under: Ditylum brightwellii
Lineage: Eukaryota; Bacillariophyta; Thalassiosirophyceae; Lithodesmiales; Lithodesmiaceae
Description: eukaryotic LSU rRNA
Rfam family: Eukaryotic large subunit ribosomal RNA
Source: RNAcentral